RNAcentral lists this ribosomal RNA (343 nucleotides) under uncultured bacterium. Its description in RNAcentral is "bacterial SSU rRNA". It matches the Rfam family "Bacterial small subunit ribosomal RNA", at positions 28 to 334 of the family's 1533-position model. The record is from RNAcentral.
GAUGAACGCCGGCGGUGUGCCUAAUACAUGCAAGUCGUACGCACUGGCCCAACUGAUUGAUGGUGCUUGCACCUGAUUGACGAUGGAUCACCAGUGAGUGGCGGACGGGUGAGUAACACGUAGGUAACCUGCCCCGGAGCGGGGGAUAACAUUUGGAAACAGAUGCUAAUACCGCAUAACAACAAAAGCCGCAUGGUUUUUGUUUGAAAGAUGGCUUUGGCUAUCACUCUGGGAUGGACCUGCGGUGCAUUAGCUAGUUGGUAAGGUAACGGCUUACCAAGGCGAUGAUGCAUAGCCGAGUUGAGAGGUUGAACGGCCACAUUGGGACUGAGACACGGCCCAG